GUGGGGAAUAUUGGACAAUGGGCGAAAGCCUGAUCCAGCCAUGCCGCGUGUGUGAAGAAGGUCUUCGGAUUGUAAAGCACUUUAAGUUGGGAGGAAGGGCAGUAAGUUAAUACCUUGCUGUUUUGACGUUACCGACAGAAUAAGCACCGGCUAACUUCGUGACAGCAGCCGCGGUAAUACGAAGGGUGCAAGCGUGAAUCGGAAUUACUGGGCGUAAAGCGCGCGUAGGUGGUUUUGUAAGUUGGAGGUGAAAUCCCCGGGCUCAACCUGGGAACUGCCUCCAAAACUGCAUGACUAGAGUACGGUAGAGGGUAGUGGAAUUUCCUGUGUAGCGGUGAAAUGCGUAGAUAUAGGAAGGAACACCAGUGGCGAAGGCGACUACCUGGACUGAUACUGACACUGAGGUGCGAAAGCGUGGGGAGCAAACAGGAUUAGAAACCCGUGUAGUCC
Molecule: ribosomal RNA, 450 nt
Filed under: uncultured bacterium
Lineage: Bacteria
Description: partial 16S ribosomal RNA
Rfam family: Bacterial small subunit ribosomal RNA
Source: RNAcentral